CGCGUACGAACAAAUCUCCCAAAAAACACAACAAAAAGGACGACUAGGAGAGAUCUUUUGUUUUGACAAUGUUGGUUACUAUGAUUAUAAAAAAAAAUCAUGAUGUUGGAUUAUGGUUGCUAAGGUAUCACUACGUCAUGAUCACAGGAACUAAUUGUGCAUUUUCACUUUUAAUUUCAUUUAAGAAGUAUGACAAAUCAUCUAACUUUUAACGUACUGUCUCCCUCUCCCAGCAAGGCUACGAAUAAGGCACGCUGGGUGGAAGCCACCGUUUGAAAAGGAUGUUGUUGUACCCCCAUUUGCUAAGAAAACACACGCGCUACAACACGAACGCAAGUGGCUGAGUGGCAAACCAACACCAAUGCCUCAUAUAUUGAACACUAAACAACGCAUUAAACAUGGAACACACCCAUCUUCGGUUCUGUGUGUCUCCUUUACAGCGUCACUUUUUCUUUCCGUGCACCGCGCGGCCAAGCACAACCGGGUCCGCGAUUCAUAAUAUCGGUUUAAAAUUCUAAAAUAAGAACGCUCUAAUGUUUCGGCUAGUGUUUUGUCAACGCGUUCGCCAAACUGAAUAUCAACCGGGGCCCAGAGUGAGAGAACCAAGCGCAUGCACCUACCGCUCGCGGUGCACUGACAGAGCGGUCUUUUACACACAAAACCACACUCACAGCCGGCUGUGGAAAUGUCCCCACUCGUGGCAUUAGCUCCCCCUGUUUGUUUUCCGGUGGCCAUGUGCAGAACGAAUCGUGGCUUCAUUCCUCCACCAUUGUUUGUAUGCUUGUCUCCACCGACGAGAUGCAGACUUCCGUCCGGGGAUAUUUGCAAACGAUCGUGCGGUCAACGUCGCGAGAAUUAGAAUCGCAGUGUAAAUCAAUGCUGAUGGGACCAAAACAGGAUUUUUUGCCAUUUGCUUUACCCAAGAAACAUUGGUAAGAUCUAUGCAAACAGACCAGAACACACGGCUGUCAAUGGAGUCACAGAUUGAAACUGGCCGCGAUGAGCUAAAGGUAGGUUUUUGCCUAGUAACGAAUAAAUGCCUUCGGGGCGGCCCGGUGGUGCAUGUGAAAAACGGCGCCCGUCCACACGGCAGGGACCGGGUUCAAAUCCCAUCCAGACCGUCCCCCCGUAGCAUGGACUGACUAUCCUGCUACGUAGUAAAAUAAGUCUUGAUACGGCCAGGCCGUUCUAACCGAGCAAAAAAAAAAAAAAAUAAUAAAUGCCUUCGCUGGAGCACGGUAUCGCGCGAAACCGUAAUUUAGGUGUAGGUUUUAUCAUCAGGGUAAAGAUCAAUUCCUAUCAUCCACCCUACAUGGGUGGGACAAAACGCCCAGAAUAACCCUCUAUCGGUGGUAACUGUCUGAGGGUGGCCGACAAUCUACUCCACUAUCAAGAACUAAGCUUUUACCUUAAUUACAAAACUCCCUACAGACUUACUAUCGUGACGAAGUUAAAAAUGCUUCGGUUAUCGUUACCGACAGUCACACCUUCCCGGUAUAUAGCGAGAAAAUAGUUUUUUUUUUUAAAUAAAAUAUAUCCUUUUUUUCUUUUGGACACAUUUUGGUACAAAUAUUAAGAUUUCAAGUAAAAAUUUAAAACCUUUUUCCAGAGCAAACAAAUCCACGUGAAGGAAUCUACAAUCCAGUUUGUAAUAAUAAAGUCGUGUAAAUUGUAUAUUUUGCUUUAAAAGCAUACACAUUAUUAGUUAAACAAUUAAAGCCUUAUUCUGGCUACCCUUCAAGGUACGCAAAUGUUUCCAUUUAUUUAUUGAAUUACUUUAUUAAUAGCACACCACACCUUUUGAUCUUGCUGCAGCAUAACCAAGACGUAUUCCCCAUGUGCCAUGUUUCCGGUGCUGACUCAAGGCUCUAGGGUGCGAUGUUUGUAUACCCAACAAAUUGAGUUAUGAAUUCUUAUCAUACACCACUCAGCGUCAAAGAUGCAUCUAAAAUCAGCUAGUCAACCACAAAUAGAAGGGUGGGAGCGUUAGAUAAACUUCCUCUUUUGAACGAUGGACACCCUCUAAUUCCACCCAUAGGCAAUUGUUGAAAUUUCUAAUAUGACUAUCGAUCAAAACUCAACGUCGUGCGGAUGGUAAGAAAAAUACAUUAAUCAUCCGUGGGCUUGUCCUAUACACAUAUGGUUUUUCGUUACACGGUAUCCUUUUUUGCGUUGUGGAUCCUUUACGCGAUCGUUUCGCUUUCCCAUGCGGCUGAUCUUGCGUCCUCCAUUUGCGUGUCUUCUUGGGUGCAGUUUUGCAGCGAACACGUUUUUUUGAUACCAGACAAGAAACAUCUGUUUCCCAUUUGUGGUGUGGAUCACAUUUUUGGGGGAAAUGGCAGGUCUUUUAUAAUCCAGUUCCGUUCAUUUGCUUUUCAGUCAAAUGCACAAACAAGUUUCUUUUUGCGUUUACAAAAUGGAGAAUUUGUUUUAACUGGAGAAUGUGGGAAAUGUGAAGAAAAU
Anopheles funestus (African malaria mosquito) is the source of this 2463-nucleotide long non-coding RNA. RefSeq lists it as uncharacterized. The transcript is spliced from 3 exons. The record is from RefSeq and is a predicted model, not a curated record. NCBI's taxonomy places the organism in Eukaryota, Metazoa, Arthropoda, Insecta, Diptera, Culicidae.